CCCAUGGAUACAUGAAGGACUCAAAGUGGAAAAGGAAAACGGAAGUGCAAAGAUAAGGUUAAAGAACUGUGGUGGCGUGCCGAAGUAAAUAACGAGCGACCGGCCAGUGAAAAUAGUUAGAAACACCUCCGAACAAAUAGCGACUUAAUAUCUCGUUGUUGCUAGGUUUUCUGAGUUAAAGAUGAUUGGAUCCUAGGACGAGGUGCUCCUCCCUAUACAUUGCUCGGUAGGUUUAACGUACCACUAAGUGUUAUCAAUCGUGCCCAAAGUCACUUCGCUGACGGUCGAGGUCUAAUUAUGUGUAUAUGGAUAUUUGAUGUGAAACAUUAAGGUUCAUUUGUUAUUCUAUAUAUGUAUAUAAUGGUUGAUGAUGCCAUUAUGAAUGCAUGACUGGGUUUUA
Non-coding RNA from Theobroma cacao (cacao), 400 nucleotides. Lineage: Eukaryota; Viridiplantae; Streptophyta; Magnoliopsida; Malvales; Malvaceae. The record is from RefSeq and is a predicted model, not a curated record.